Molecule: ribosomal RNA, 506 nt
Filed under: uncultured bacterium
Lineage: Bacteria
Description: bacterial SSU rRNA
Rfam family: Bacterial small subunit ribosomal RNA
Source: RNAcentral
GAAAAUCAAAGGAAUGGACGGGGGUCCGCACAAGCUGUGGAGCAUAUUGUCUAAUACGAAGCAACGCGAAGAAACUUACCAGGUCGUGACAUCCUCUGAAAACCCUAGAGAUAGGGCUUCUACUUCCGGAGCAGAAUGACAGGUGGUGCAUGGUUGUUGUCAGCUCGUGUCGUGAGAUGUUGGGUUAAGUCCCGCAACGAGCGCAACCCUUGAUCUUAGUUGCCAUCAUUAAGUUGGGCACUCUAAGGUGACUGCCGGUGACAAACCGGAGGAAGGUGGGGAUGACGUCAAAUCAUCAUGCCCCUUAUGACCUGGGCUACACACCUGCUACAAUGGACGGUACAAAGAGCUGCAAGACCGCGAGGUGGAGCUAAUCUCAUAAAACCGUUCUCAGUUCGGAUUGUAGGCUGCAACUCGCCUACAUGAAGCUGGAAUCGCUAGUAAUCGCGGAUCAGCAUGCCGCGGUGAAUACGUUCCCGGGCCUUGUACACACCGCCCGUCACACC